GGCGAAACAGGAUCGACGAGGGCGUAAAGGGCGCGCUUUUUCCCGGUAUUGUUCCGCCGUUAUCGGGCUACUGCAAUAGUUGCCAACGACAACUAUGCUCCGGUUGCUCAGGCUGCGUAACGCAGUUUGAAAGACCAUCUUGAAGUCCUAGCGGGUUAAGCUCCGCUAGGCGGGGUUCGGAGGCACCUGGCAACAGAAGCCUCCACU
Molecule: transfer-messenger RNA, 207 nt
Filed under: Bradyrhizobium sp.
Lineage: Bacteria; Pseudomonadati; Pseudomonadota; Alphaproteobacteria; Hyphomicrobiales; Nitrobacteraceae
Description: partial transfer-messenger RNA
Rfam family: Alphaproteobacteria transfer-messenger RNA
About the family: Bacterial tmRNA, also known as 10Sa RNA or SsrA, is named for its dual tRNA and mRNA-like properties. Its role is to liberate the mRNA from a stalled ribosome.
Source: RNAcentral